AAAAAAUAUGUUUGAGCCAGCCCUGCAGUGAGCGGCCACGGCCUCUCCCCCGCUUCCCACCAUCGCGUCCCAAUUCUCCUCCCUGCCCUGCCGCCGCCGCCUGCUCCUUCCACGCCGCCGCCCUCACGCUCUCCCGACGCGCCGCCUCCCCGCCCAGCCAUCCACCCAAGCAUAUCCCCUGCGGCGCGCCCCCUUGGACUCCCGCGACAGCAUGGCGGAGUGACCACGGCGAAUCAGGGGUGCGAAUCCGGACCCCGAUCUGGAUCGAUAGAUCGAUCAAAUCCGGUGGCAAUGGGUAAGGCAUGGUAGCGAGGAGGCAUGAAGAGCGCUGGAAAUCCGACCCUUUGUCGAACAAAGUGGAGAAAAGUAGCCUAUGGGGGCAUGCAGCCAGGCUACGAUGAUAACUACACCGACGACUCCUUCCUGGAGGAGAUGGUCAUGAACGCCAAUGUCGUCAAGAGGGACUUCCUGAGGGUGAUGGUCGACUCUGUCUCCAUCUCCCAGUAUCUCUGCAUCGUCGCCCUUGUAGUUUCGACAUGGACACAUACGCUGAAUUUGGCCAUCGACGAAAUCACUCUCCUGAAAUUCGACAUUGGUCUGCUGCUUGUUGGGUUCUUGGUCCUCCUGCUCACCACCAGCCCAUUCUCGCUGAAUCUACUCUUGAAGUAUGUCCUCAACAUAUCAUUCUUCACCAGUGGCCUUUAUGUUCUGGCGCCAAUUUGCCAUACCCUUACCAGGUCCAUCAGUUCAGAUUCGAUCUGGGCACUUGCUGUGUUCCUUCUGCUGGUUCAUCUCUUCUUGCAUGACUACUCUGGCUCCACUAUAAGGCCUCCAGGUGCACUCAACAACCCAAAGCUGACCAGCAACAUCUCCUUGAACGCGUCGAUAGUGGCGUCUGUUCUUGUGGCGUCGCGUCUGCCAUCUUGGCUGCACGUCUUUGCAAUCAUGCUCUUCUCAUUGCAGGUCUUCCUGUUUGCGCCGCUGGUCACAUUUUGUAUCAAGAAGUACUCCUGUAGACUCCAUUUGAUGUUCUCCUUUGCUCUCAUGGUCAUGACCCUGGGCGUCACGUACCAGCUGCAUCGAAUGCUCUUCAUUUUGCUGCUGGCUCUCGUCGUUUUCAUCUCGCUUGUCUGCCCCUACUGGCUUAUCAGGAUUCAGGAGUACAAGUUUGAGAUCAAUGGCCCCUGGGAUGAAGCUAAACUCUGCUUUGAUAUAACUGAAUGAAUAGCAGCACUGGGCUUAAUCAGGAAGUUACAUGUGCACAAGAUUGAUCUCACUGUAUGUAUCUAUGACUGAUGUACUGCUAGUCUCUUUUGCAAGUUUCCAUGUGUAUGUACAUACUCUUGACUUGUUAACUUGUUUUGCUACUGUGGCUCUAAAUGCUUGGCAAAGUCUUGUGUUCUGCACUCUGGUCUGGUGAUGUAUUUUCUCGAGGCAUUCAAGGCCCCAAAUUCAGUGUUGAAAUAUAUAGUGAAACAUGAUUCUGUAAUCUUUGAUCAAGUCAAGGGGGUGUCUUGCUCAUUCUAG
RNAcentral lists this ribosomal RNA (1527 nucleotides) under Triticum aestivum (bread wheat). Its description in RNAcentral is "partial small subunit ribosomal RNA". Lineage: Eukaryota; Viridiplantae; Streptophyta; Magnoliopsida; Poales; Poaceae. The record is from RNAcentral.